Molecule: long non-coding RNA, 1838 nt
Organism: Lolium perenne
Lineage: Eukaryota; Viridiplantae; Streptophyta; Magnoliopsida; Poales; Poaceae
Source: RefSeq, a predicted model, not a curated record
CAGCUUCCCCCUCAGCCGCCGCCACUCCUCUUCCUCUACAACAAACCCUACCGAGAGCUUCUUCUCCGUCUACCACUCGCCGCCGUCGCCAUGAGCUCCGUCAACGCCACCUGAGCUGCGGAAUCGGACCACCGCGUCCUCCUCUACCUCCUGGACGCCGUCAAGGACGCCAACGCGCCAAGAUCUGCUCCACCUCGUCGAGUGCUGUCCGUCUACUUCCCAGCCUCCUCUUCUUCCUCUACGCCGGCAACCCUCUCUGCCUCCUCUUCCUCUUCGACGAGCACCAGGACGCCGACGCAGAGCAGUACGAGCAGGAGUACGAGCACCCUCAGGAGGAUCGUGCCUGUGCUUCUACCGCUGAUUUGACAGGCGAGCCCACCUUUUCACCUAUUUUACUUUUACAUGCUCUUUUGAUCUACUGCUAUCCCUAUGUUGCGAUUCUGUUGUGUCACGUGUCCUAUUCCACCUGUUACCUAUAUAUCCGAGUUACACCUCCUCGCCCUACCUAUUGUUUGUUGUUUGCCAGCUUUGCGAGUCGUAGGCGAGUUUAGGGUUUUUGUUGAUAUCUCGAAAUGUUCGGGAUAUCUUGUUGGGAUGUUGACACAUGUACUACCUUUUCGAAAAUGAAGUUGAUAACUUUUGCUACAAUUAAAAUUGAUAUGGGAUAAUAAUAUUGCAGAGGCAUCGGUGAGCCCCUUUGCGAAAGCAUCGGAUUUUUGUCUCGCUUGUGUCCCCUAGGACCCGAGUUCUUGUUAUCUGUUUCUAAGACUGAGCGUGCUAACCACUCGUGGGAGGUUUUAUCGGGACCCCCCAUCACCCAUUACCAUUUCUCAAGUCUGUUGAAAAGGGGGCCACAACCUUGGUUUUAUUUGGCGCAUGCAUGUUUAUAUACUGUUGCCUUCGGGUGUUUACUUCCUGUUGCCUUCGGGUGUUUUAUUCUGUACUACACUGCAUAAUUGCUAGACGACUUAUCUAGUGCUUGGCCGCUAGUGCCCGCCUAGACGCCUACGCAACCUCUAGGUCCGUAUCGGAGUACGGCCGAACUUCGUCACGGGUAACUUAGUUGGGUGGCCCCCCUAGGCAUUCUUGCAGAUCUGGGAACGGUCUUGUUGUGAGACUCCGCACUUGACUAUGCGGGUUCGAGCAUGCGUGUAUGGUAACAUUGGUGCACCCCUGCAGGGUAAAUCUUAUCGAUAAGCCGUGUCCGCGGUUAUGGACGACUUGGAGCUGUUUAACUCGAUCAUAGAACAACUUACACCUAAUGCUGACGCUAAUAACUUGCUAAUUACUUGCGUAGUAAGUUAGCCCUAUUAUAAUGGAAUGGAUAUAAAAUUGUCAACUGUGUGAGUGCCUUGCUAGUACCUCUUGGCUAAGGGGGUUCGCAUUGGCUGGGUUUUGUUUGCAGAGUAUAGAACUGCUAGUUUAUGCGCUCUCUCAUCUUCUCUGAUAGACGAAUGUUGUAGCGUGUCUCUAUUGGUUAGUUGCUUUGCUGCCGCUAAACUCCACAUAUAGCCGGGCGAAGUUUACACCGCCCACCAGCAAGCAUAGCUGGUCUUGUCUCGCAAGUACGUGCCACUUGGUUCUUACCCUCGUUUUUCUCUCUCUUUUUCCGGAACCCGCUUUUCGAUAAACAGGUACGACAGAUGAUGAGCAGUACGCAGGAGGCUACUUUGUCGAGUUCACGGACGACGACUUCGUUGCGUAGCAGGAUCGUUCCUAAGGCAGCAGCCUGUGGCUUGUUGGUUAUGGAUCCCGCUUGGUUAUCUUCAGGACUCUUAGUCCAAUUUGGAUCUUGUCUGUACCCAGACUUUUUGCUACCUCUAUGUAUGAUGUACCGA